UGCGUAGGUGGCGUCGUAAGUCGGGUGUGAAAUCUCGGGGCUUAACUCCGAAACUGCAUUCGAUACUGCGGUGCUUGAGGACUGGAGAGGAGACUGGAAUUUACGGUGUAGCAGUGAAAUGCGUAGAGAUCGUAAGGAAGACCAGUGGCGAAGGCGGGUCUCUGGAAAGUUCCUGACACUGAGGCACGAAGGCCAGGGGAGCAAACG
This 207-nucleotide ribosomal RNA is filed under the name uncultured bacterium. Its description in RNAcentral is "partial 16S ribosomal RNA". It matches the Rfam family "Bacterial small subunit ribosomal RNA", at positions 568 to 774 of the family's 1533-position model. The record is from RNAcentral.